UACGUAGGGUGCGAGCGUUAAUCGGAAUUACUGGGCGUAAAGGGUGCGCAGGCGGCGUCGCAAGUCAGGCGUGAAAUCCCCGGGCUUAACCUGGGAACUGCACUUGAAACUACGAUGCUGGAGUAUGGCAGAGGGAGGUGGAAUUCCACGUGUAGCGGUGAAAUGCGUAGAGAUGUGGAGGAACACCGAUGGCGAAGGCAGCCUCCUGGGCCAAUACUGGCGCUCAUGCACGAAAGCGUGGGGAGCAAACAGG
Molecule: ribosomal RNA, 253 nt
Filed under: uncultured bacterium
Lineage: Bacteria
Description: partial 16S ribosomal RNA
Rfam family: Bacterial small subunit ribosomal RNA
Source: RNAcentral